GAUGAACGCUGGCGGCGUGCCUAAUACAUGCAAGUCGAGCGAACAGACGAGGAGCUUGCUCCUCUGACGUUAGCGGCGGACGGGUGAGGAACACGUGGAUAACCUACCUAUAAGACUGGGAUAACUUCGGGAAACCGGAGCUAAUACCGGAUAAUAUAUUGAACCGCAUGGUUCAAUGGUGAAAGACGGUGUUGCUGUCACUUAUAGAUGGAUCCGCGCUGCAUUAGCUAGUUGGUAAGGUAACGGCUUACCAAGGCAACGAUGCGUAGCCGACCUGAGAGGGUGAUCGCCCACACUGGACCUCACACACUGUCCAGACUCCUACGGGAGGCCGCAGUAGGGCAUCUUCCGCGAUUGGCGACAGCCUGACGGACCAAAGCCGCGUGAGUGAUGAAGGUCUUCGGAUCGUAAAACUCUGUUAUUAGGGAAGAACAAAUGUGUAAGUAACUAUGCACGUCUUGACGGUACCUAAUCAGAAAGCCACGGCUAACUACGUG
Molecule: ribosomal RNA, 497 nt
Filed under: uncultured bacterium
Lineage: Bacteria
Description: partial 16S ribosomal RNA
Rfam family: Bacterial small subunit ribosomal RNA
Source: RNAcentral